Molecule: small RNA, 638 nt
Filed under: Pongo abelii (Sumatran orangutan)
Lineage: Eukaryota; Metazoa; Chordata; Mammalia; Primates; Hominidae
Description: retained intron
Source: RNAcentral
AGGGACACAACAUGGCGGCGGGAUCCCUAAUGCUCUCCUUCGAGGGACCACCACGGAGAUCCUAGUGCGGGACCCCGCCUCAGGGAAGUGGAAAGCAGGGGGACAACCUUCCUGCCUCUUUCUUUUCCGUCCAGUGUCGGCAAGGGGUUGUCACCGGCUUCCGCAUCCAAGAUGAAGAACUAUAAAGCCAUUGGCAAAAUAGGAGAGGGAACGUUUUCUGAGGUUAUGAAGAUGCAAAGCCUGAGAGAUGGAAACUACUAUGCGUGUAAACAAAUGAAGCAGCGCUUUGAAAGGUAGGCCACAGAGAUGCACUUGGGACCAAACACAGAUCCAGGUUUCAAUCAAUAACGGCGACUUAAUAUUAGGGGGGAACUUUAUUGAUUUAAUAAUAUGUAAGAUACAAUCAGAUUUCUUUGGGCAGUGAGGGUUAUAUGCUAAUGUUAUGUUUAUCAUACUGGACUUUACUCAUAUCCAGGCUUACUGUAAUAUCAGUGAUGAAUGACCAUAAAAAAGUUUGUUUCAAAAGUGUGUCUCACCUUAAACAGUCUGUAUGUUCCUAAAAGUUAUAUAUGUGUUGGAUUUCUUUUUUUUUUUAAUUAAAAAAACAGCAAAAAAAUUAUAUAUCAACCAAUGGAACA